Molecule: small nuclear RNA, 20 nt
Filed under: Arabidopsis thaliana (thale cress)
Lineage: Eukaryota; Viridiplantae; Streptophyta; Magnoliopsida; Brassicales; Brassicaceae
Description: snRNA_02852
Source: RNAcentral
GGGAUGCAACGCGAGGACUU